GACAGAGGGUGCAAACGUUGCUCGGAAUUACUGGGCGUAAAGGGCGCGUAGGCGGACAGCUUAGUCAGAGGUGAAAGCCCAGGGCUCAACCUUGGAAUUGCCUUUGAUACUGGCUGUCUUGAGUUCGGGAGAGGUGAGUGGAAUGCCGAGUGUAGAGGUGAAAUUCGUAGAUAUUCGGCGGAACACCAGUGGCGAAGGCGACUCACUGGCCCGAUACUGACGCUGAGGCGCGAAAGCGUGGGGAGCAAACAGG
RNAcentral lists this ribosomal RNA (253 nucleotides) under uncultured bacterium. RNAcentral's name for it is "partial 16S ribosomal RNA". It matches the Rfam family "Bacterial small subunit ribosomal RNA", at positions 524 to 776 of the family's 1533-position model. The record is from RNAcentral.